GACUAGGUGGCUGAGUGGUCCGAUGCGAUAGACUGGAAAUCUAUCGUCUUCGGAAGCGGCUGUUCGAAUCAGCGCCGGACU
This is a non-coding RNA of Xylaria intraflava, 81 nucleotides long. The record is from the annotation of a GenBank genome assembly. Lineage: Eukaryota; Fungi; Ascomycota; Sordariomycetes; Xylariales; Xylariaceae.